AUUUUUCCAGUACCAAAUGAACGUUGGAUUGGAUACGGACUCUGACAGAAUAACCUCAGCCAUUCUUACUGAUUAAAUCUAGCAUCGAGAGUGGAUCCAGAUAUUCCUAAAACUAUAGAUCUCUGUGUAUAGGUUAACAUUUACUGGCAUACUGACAAAUUCAAGUUUUUUUUAUCCUAACAUAAGGUUUUGCUUUUUUUCAAUUUAACUAGUGCAAUGUCAUUGUUUGAAUUUAAUCCUCGUAGAUGUGCUACACACAGGGGCGUUGCUGAGUGGUUGGGGUGACCCAGGCUGGACCCCAUGGUCUGAGCUGGCCAUUAUUAGCUUUUAGUUCAAGCCGGAAGUAGAGGAGUUGGUAGAUUCCUUUUUGCAUCUCCACCUUUUCC
This is a non-coding RNA of Pelobates cultripes (western spadefoot toad), 386 nucleotides long. NCBI's taxonomy places the organism in Eukaryota, Metazoa, Chordata, Amphibia, Anura, Pelobatidae. The record is from the annotation of a GenBank genome assembly.